CCUACGGGUGACAGCAGUGAGGAAUAUUGGUCAAUGGCCGAGAGGCUGAACCAGCCAAGUCGCGUGAGGGAAGACGGCCCUACGGGUUGUAAACCUCUUUUGUCGGGGAGCAAAGCGAACCACGUGUGGUUCAUUGAGAGUACCCGAAGAAAAAGCAUCGGCUAACUCCGUGCCAGCAGCCGCGGUAAUACGGAGGAUGCGAGCGUUAUCCGGAUUUAUUGGGUUUAAGGGGUGCGCAGGCGGAGGUGCAAGUCAGCGGUCAAAUUGCGGGGCUCAACCCCGUACUGCCGUUGAAACUGCAUCCCUUGAGUGCGCGAGAAGUAUGCGGAAUGCGUGGUGUAGCGGUGAAAUGCAUAGAUAUCACGCAGAACCCCGAUUGCGAAGGCAGCAUACCGGCGCCCUACUGACGCUGAGGCACGAAAGUGCGGGUAUCGAACAGGAUUAGAUACCCCAGUAGUC
RNAcentral lists this ribosomal RNA (459 nucleotides) under uncultured bacterium. Its description in RNAcentral is "partial 16S ribosomal RNA". It matches the Rfam family "Bacterial small subunit ribosomal RNA", at positions 338 to 795 of the family's 1533-position model. The record is from RNAcentral.